RNAcentral lists this unclassified non-coding RNA (332 nucleotides) under soil metagenome. RNAcentral describes it as "partial contains 5.8S ribosomal RNA, internal transcribed spacer 2, and large subunit ribosomal RNA". The stretch from base 1 to 120 matches the Rfam family "5.8S ribosomal RNA", at positions 35 to 154 of the family's 154-position model. The record is from RNAcentral.
GAUGAAGAACGCAGCAAAAUGCGAUAAGUAAUGUGAAUUACAGAAUUCAGUGAAUCAUCGAAUCUUUGAACGCACAUUGCGCCCGCCAGUAUUCUGGCGGGCAUGCCUGUUCGAGCGUCAUUUCAACCCUCAAGCACAGCUUGGUGUUGGGACUCGCGUUAAUUCGCGUUCCCCAAAUUGAUUGGCGGUCACGUCGAGCUUCCAUAGCGUAGUAGUAAAACCCUCGUUACUGGUAAUCGUCGCGGCCACGCCGUUAAACCCCAACUUCUGAAUGUUGACCUCGGAUCAGGUAGGAAUACCCGCUGAACUUAAGCAUAUCAAUAAGCGGAGGA